GUAGCCGACCUGAGAGGGUGAUCGGCCACAUUGGAACUGAGACACGGUCCAAACUCCUACGGGAGGCAGCAGUGGGGAAUAUUGCACAAUGGGCGAAAGCCUGAUGCAGCAACGCCGCGUGAGUGAUGAAGGCCUUCGGGUCGUAAAACUCUGUCCUCAAGGAAGAUAAUGACGGUACUUGAGGAGGAAGCCCCGGCUAACUACGUGCCAGCAGCCGCGGUAAUACGUAGGGGGCUAGCGUUAUCCGGAUUUACUGGGCGUAAAGGGUGCGUAGGCGGUCUUUCAAGUCAGGAGUGAAAGGCUACGGCUCAACCGUAGUAAGCUCUUGAAACUGGGAGACUUGAGUGCAGGAGAGGAGAGUGGAAUUCCUAGUGUAGCGGUGAAAUGCGUAGAUAUUAGGAGGAACACCAGUUGCGAAGGCGGCUCUCUGGACUGUAACUGACGCUGAGGCACGAAAGCGUGGGGAGCAAACAGGAUUAGAUACCCUGGUAGUCCACGCUGUAAACGAUGAGUAC
RNAcentral lists this ribosomal RNA (515 nucleotides) under Clostridioides difficile. Its description in RNAcentral is "bacterial SSU rRNA". It matches the Rfam family "Bacterial small subunit ribosomal RNA", at positions 283 to 816 of the family's 1533-position model. Lineage: Bacteria; Bacillati; Bacillota; Clostridia; Peptostreptococcales; Peptostreptococcaceae. The record is from RNAcentral.